This 1086-nucleotide long non-coding RNA is filed under the name Canis lupus familiaris (dog). Its description in RNAcentral is "lncRNA (ENSCAFG00000050974.1, ENSCAFG00845017386.1)". Lineage: Eukaryota; Metazoa; Chordata; Mammalia; Carnivora; Canidae. The record is from RNAcentral.
CCAUGCAGGGAGCCCGACGUGGGACUCAAUCCUGGGUCUCCAGGAUCAGGCCCUGGGCUGAAGGUGGCACUAAACCGCUGAGCCACUCAGGCUGCCCUAGAUUCCAAUUUUAAACUACAAAUAUACCCUGAAAGUCUGAAGCUAUUCAGUCAGCUGAAUUAUUUUAAACAAUUUAUUUAAAAUUUGAAAACCUAUAUGCCAGCUAUGAAGAUAAGGACCUUCCUUAUCCAAACCUUAAAACAAGCUUACAGUAUGGAUAACUUAUCUGUAGUGUACAGGUGAUGAAAAUGAAUCUUACAGAUGUUUUAUACCUUGUCCAACAUCAUUCACAUAGCUAGGGAGUGCCAGAAUGGAUUUCUAACCACUCUGGACUAUAUCUCUUCUCAAAAACUAGCCUAUGACAGUUAGAUGAGAGGAAAAAUAUUUUUUACUGGGAUGUGAGAAGGAAGGUAGAAUUAAAAGUCAGGAAUUCUGGAAAAUGAAAUUAUGAAUCCCUUGGAUUUCUAAGAGUUAAGAAAUUGUCCUGAAAAUGCCAAGAACAAAACACCUAUGUUGCAGUUGUGACUGGUAAUGAAUGUUAACUACAUGUUGCAUGGCACCAAAGUCAUCUUUCCCAUGUAAGUCUCCGUGGUGUGGGGAUCAUGUUCAAAGGUACUCGGCAGUUUAAAAGGAUUAAUUAUAUUACGUGAUAAGGAAUUUUAAUGAUUUAACAGGAAAUUUAAAAAUAUUAUAGAUAUAGGCAUUAUACAAAGGUAAAUUUUAAUUUUUCUAAUAAUCCUUAAAUAAGUUUUAAUCUUUAAGACAGACUAGAUUGGAGAAGCUAAGAUGGCAGAGUGGUAAGAGGACCUUAGGGUUGCCUGGUCCCUUCAAAUUCAGUUAGAUCAAUAUCAAAUCAUUCUGAAUACCCAAGAAAACAAUCUAAGGAUGGACAGAACAAAAAUAGAGGGAGAGAAGAGUCCACAUCCUGGAAGGUAGGAGGUGCAGGGAUGUCAUUUGGGGGAGAAAUAUAUCACAGGUGCUGUGGAGGAAAGGAAGCCCUGGUCACAGAGAGAAGAGAAAGGGGAAAAGAGAAAGAGAGAGGAGUAC